This 305-nucleotide ribosomal RNA is filed under the name uncultured bacterium. RNAcentral describes it as "bacterial SSU rRNA". It matches the Rfam family "Bacterial small subunit ribosomal RNA", at positions 338 to 641 of the family's 1533-position model. The record is from RNAcentral.
CCUACGGGACGCAGCAGUGAGGAAUAUUGGUCAAUGGCCGAGAGGCUGAACCAGCCAAGUCGCGUGAGGGAAGACGGCCCUACGGGUUGUAAACCUCUUUUGUCGGGGAGCAAAGCGAGUCACGUGUGACUCAUUGAGAGUACCCGAAGAAAAAGCAUCGGCUAACUCCGUGCCAGCAGCCGCGGUAAUACGGAGGAUGCGAGCGUUAUCCGGAUUUAUUGGGUUUAAAGGGUGCGCAGGCGGAGGUGCAAGUCAGCGGUCAAAUUGCGGGGCUCAAACCCGUACGGCCGUUGAAACUGCAUCCC